GUGCUCACUUCGGCAGCACAUAUACUAAAAUUAGAAAGAUACAGAGAUUUGCAUGGCCCCUGAAUCUUUAAAAUUUUUUUGAAAAAAGGAAUGUAGUAAAAAUUU
Small nuclear RNA from Cebus imitator (Panamanian white-faced capuchin), 105 nucleotides. The record is from RefSeq and is a predicted model, not a curated record. NCBI's taxonomy places the organism in Eukaryota, Metazoa, Chordata, Mammalia, Primates, Cebidae.